CUGUUCACUCCAGUGUGUGGUGGAGAGACUGAGUCACAGAGAGCUUAAGCAAUUUUGCCCAAGCUAAUAAGUGACACAAUGGCCCAACGUGACAAGCACUCUACCUGAGGGAAAAACAGGGUUAUCCUGGAACAGAAAACAUCUGUGGAGGCCCAGGGAGCCUGGAAGACGGUAGACCUCAGUUGACUUUGACAGAAGGGGAGCUGUCAGUGGGCAGAAAGGCACUGCGGUCAGUGCUGGUUGCAGGUGGAGGGAGCACCCUGGACAAAGCUCUUGAGAAAGAGGCCAUAAAGAACACGUGGCUGGUUGAAUUCGGCUGGACAUGCAGUGAUUGAAGAUCUCCUGUAUCCAAGGGACUGUCAUGGCUUCUGGAAACACAGCUGCCGUAAACGGUGACACAACGACCACGUCGUGAGCGACUUCUGGGCCCCAGUUCUAUUUUCCCACAGACCUCCGCCCAUGCACAAUCUGUCUGCACUCAGAGCUUCCUGUGAGGAGGGAGCUAGCAAGCGGAGUGGUCCGGGGCUCUGAGACAGCGAUAUGGGGGGUGGGUCCCCCAGAGGAAGGCUAACACAAACCUAGCAAGCAUUGAAUAAACUGAGUCACCUUGAUAGAAUCUUGACAUUGGGGCACCUGGGUGGCUCAGUUGGUUAAGCGACUGCGUUAGGCUCAGGUCAUGAUCCUGGAGUCCUGGGAUGGAGCCCCGCAUCGGGCUCCCAGCUCCAUGA
Long non-coding RNA from Lutra lutra (Eurasian river otter), 728 nucleotides. RefSeq lists it as uncharacterized. NCBI's taxonomy places the organism in Eukaryota, Metazoa, Chordata, Mammalia, Carnivora, Mustelidae. The record is from RefSeq and is a predicted model, not a curated record. The transcript is spliced from 3 exons.